UACGGGGGGAGCAAGCGUUGUUCGGAUUUACUGGGCGUAAAGGGCGCGUAGGCGGCCAGCACAAGUCAGUUGCGAAAUCUCCGGGCUUAACUCGGAAAGGUCAACUGAUACUGUGCGGCUAGAGUGCAGAAGGGGCAACUGGAAUUCUCGGUGUAGCGGUGAAAUGCGUAGAUAUCGAGAGGAACACCUGCGGCGAAGGCGGGUUGCUGGGCUGACACUGACGCUGAUGCGCGAAAGCCAGGGGAGCGAACGGG
RNAcentral lists this ribosomal RNA (254 nucleotides) under uncultured bacterium. RNAcentral's name for it is "partial 16S ribosomal RNA". It matches the Rfam family "Bacterial small subunit ribosomal RNA", at positions 524 to 776 of the family's 1533-position model. The record is from RNAcentral.